UGACACUGUCCAGGAAGUAAACCUUUCCAGGAAGUUAAUCUCUUGGGGUCUUCAAACUUCUUUCUAACAGAAGAAAGUUGGUCUAACUUGGGAUGGCCUGCACAUGUCUCCUAACAUCACAGCAGGCGGAGUUUGCUCAGUUGUCAUCACGUGACCAAAGACCUAAAACUUGUCACAGCAUGGCCAGAGUCCAAUGGACGGCCGGACGAAGACCAAAGGUGCCACCCACACCUGCUAACGCUGAGGAAGACCAUGAGAUGCCGUUGUAAUUGCCAAAGAAACGUUUGGAGGUGUGUGGAGGAUUUCCAGAACAUCAAAUCUUCCUUUUUUUUUUUGUUGUAAGCGGCACUCACUUACUUAAGCCAUCAGCCGGUCAUUAAAAAUGUAAAAUUAACAUCUUUUAAAAGUGGAACCUGAUUCGCUUCUGUGCUCGGGAGGCAGUGAGGCGCGACGCUCGCAUAUGAAAUGCUUUCGGUCAUCCCCCUGGCAACAAGGGGAAGGGAGAAAAAGGUGCAUUGAGUGAAACGAGAGCAGAUUGCGUUUUAUACUUUAUUUAGAGAGUUAUUCUAGACACUGAGUCACAGACGCCCUGCCAUCACAGAAAUCCUUCCUGCUCAAUUGAGGCUGUUGAAGGGAAAUGUUGAAGGCUCGGGUCCCCGUCGGGAAGUAUUUUUUUUAUACGGCAAAUAACAUAAAUAGAUGCGCUAUGAGUGUCAACUUCUUCCUUUUUUCUUGAUGUAACAAGGAAAGGGGAGAGCGCAGAGCUACUAGAAGUGCGUGUUAAGUUUAAUGCAUCUGUUAACAGCCAGGAUCCUUUAUGAAAUGUGCUCUCGUUUCACACUAAUGUUAGGCCAUGGGGCUCGGCCAUAAACCUUUUACUUGUAUUAAUGCGUUUCAGAUGUGCGUGGGGUGUAAUCUGCUCCAUAUUGUCAAUUGUCCUGCACAAACACUGUAUCCAGUUCCUUCAUGUAGCUUAAACUCCGUGUUGUAUGUACAAGAGCACCGACCCACAAUUAGCUUCGUAUCGCUGGCUAAUAUUGGCCAAUCGCAGAUCACACAGCGUAUCAUGGAUCUAUACCUGCAUAUAAUUAACAAACUGAUAAUAUCGCAACAACUGUUGUACUGGUUACCAUGAAACGUUGCUUAUGUUAGCGAUGUUAUGACUUUUCCACGUCGUGCCAUGAAGAAGUUGAUGUUUUUUGGUUUUCAGUAAAAUGUGGAAUACUUGGGUUUAUGACCAAAUACCUGCAACAUUAACGGAAUCAGCCUCAAACGCACUUUGCAAUUUGGGCUAAUAAGCUAAUAGCGUGUUAGCAUGCCGAUGUUAGCAUUUAGCUUAAAGCCACAUGGCUCUUAGUCUUGCUCAGUAUGUGAAUCUUGGUCACAAUUCUUCAAAUUUGAAAAAUGACUUCUUAGCACAAGGUUUGAAAAGCUGUCAUUUAUUCUUGUGCUGUGAAAGUUUUCUCAAACUGCCACUUUCAAGGUCGAUAGUGAACCUUCCCAGCUCAUCUUUUAAGAAAUUAUUUGAAAGGAUCCUAUCAAAAGUGUCAGAAUGUUUUUAGUAAUAAAAAUGCUUUGUAAAACGCACAGUGCAAACCAGUAGGUUACCCUACACUGUGACCUUAAUGAUAGGAAAAUGCAUUCUUCUAAUCUCAUAGUUUUAACCACUCAUUAGCCGAAUCUUCACAUUUCAUCACAGCUUCCGAAAUCUCCUUUUUAACUUAAGGGGCAACUUUCUCGCUGAGAAUUUAAAGGCACAAAUCAUUUCCCCUUUUUUUCAUCAUCAAUCAUAAUUACGCCACCAUUUCUUCACCUUGGAUCAAUUUGUGCCAUUGAGAUCAAACAGCAGUGUUAAUAGGUGCCCUGAUUUCUCUAAAGGUAAUCUAUAUCAUGUGGUGCGAGCAGUGGCCUUUCAAGCCUCACGUUAGCUCAUGCUGCAUAUUGUUUGUCACUGAAACCCUGCAGCUAAAAUGUAAAUGUAUUCUUUGUUCCCAUUUGUGUGGUUGAUCCCACGCUCGGUCAGUCAUUUAGAGAAUUAUGGCUGAAAUGUGCAAAAAAAACCCUAAAAUGAUUUAUUUUUAUGAGUUAUACUCAACACUGUAUAUAAGUAUUUUUUUAAAGCUUAUAUUCAACAGGGCAUACUAAGUUUUGCGUGAUGGAAAGAUCCUAUUUGUGUUCGACAAGGGAACAUGCUCUAAUCAUCAUUGUUUCAGUCGCAAAGCAAACUUGGUCUUCAAAGGUUUCACCCGUGGUGCAAUUACACCAAAUUACUCUCACCAUUUGGAGUCGGUCAGGGGCUCUGUUUCAA
Long non-coding RNA from Cottoperca gobio, 2308 nucleotides. RefSeq lists it as uncharacterized. NCBI's taxonomy places the organism in Eukaryota, Metazoa, Chordata, Actinopteri, Perciformes, Bovichtidae. The record is from RefSeq and is a predicted model, not a curated record. The transcript is spliced from 3 exons.